This 436-nucleotide ribosomal RNA is filed under the name uncultured bacterium. RNAcentral's name for it is "partial 16S ribosomal RNA". It matches the Rfam family "Bacterial small subunit ribosomal RNA", at positions 29 to 507 of the family's 1533-position model. The record is from RNAcentral.
AACGAACGCUGGCGGCAGGCUUAACACAUGCAAGUCGAGCGCCCCGCAAGGGGAGCGGCAGACGGGUGGGUAACGCGUGGGAACGUACCUUUUGGUUCGGAACAACUCCGGGAAACUGGAGCUAAUACCGGAUAAGCCCUAACGGGGAAAGAUUUAUCGGCGAAAGAUCGGCCCGCGGCUGAUUAUCUAGUUGGUGAGGUAGCGGCGCACCAAGGCGACGAUCAGUAGCUGGUCUGAGAGGGUGAUCAGCCACACUGGGGCUGAGACACGGCCCAGACUCCUACGGGAGGGAGCAGGGGGGGAUGGUGCACAAGGGGCGGGAGCCGGAUGCAGCAACGCCGCGUGCGGGAAGAAGGCCGGCGGGUUGGAAACCACUUUCGUCUGGGACGAAACGUGAGUGACGGUAAGGGAUAAAGAAGCACCGGCUAACUACGUG